This 272-nucleotide ribosomal RNA is filed under the name Escherichia coli. RNAcentral's name for it is "partial 16S ribosomal RNA". It matches the Rfam family "Bacterial small subunit ribosomal RNA", at positions 1 to 269 of the family's 1533-position model. The record is from RNAcentral. Lineage: Bacteria; Pseudomonadati; Pseudomonadota; Gammaproteobacteria; Enterobacterales; Enterobacteriaceae.
AAAUUGAAGAGUUUGAUCAUGGCUCAGAUUGAACGCUGGCGGCAGGCCUAACACAUGCAAGUCGAACGGUAACAGGAAACAGCUUGCUGUUUCGCUGACGAGUGGCGGACGGGUGAGUAAUGUCUGGGAAACUGCCUGAUGGAGGGGGAUAACUACUGGAAACGGUAGCUAAUACCGCAUAAUGUCGCAAGACCAAAGAGGGGGACCUUCGGGCCUCUUGCCAUCGGAUGUGCCCAGAUGGGAUUAGCUUGUUGGUGGGGUAACGGCUCACC